GUGGGGAAUUUUGCGCAAUGGGCGAAAGCCUGACGCAGCAACGCCGCGUGGGUGAUGAAGUCCCUUGGGAUGUAAAACCCUGUCGGCUGGGACGAAACGGCUCGCAAGAGCAAUUGACUGUACCAGCAGAGGAAGCCCCGGCUAACUCCGUGCCAGCAGCCGCGGUAAUACGGGGGGGGCAAGCGUUGUUCGGAAUUACUGGGCGUAAAGGGCGUGUAGGCGGCCUAGCAAGUCAGCUGUGAAAGCCCCAGGCUCAACCUGGGAAUUGCAUCUGAAACUGCUGGGCUAGAGUUCAGGAGAGGAGGGCGGAACUCCCAGUGUAGCGGUGAAAUGCGUAGAUAUUGGGAGGAACACCGGUGGCGAAGGCGGCUCUCUGGACUGAAACUGACGCUGAGGCGCGAAAGCCAGGGGAGCGAACGGGAUUAGAAACCCCGGUAGUCC
This 441-nucleotide ribosomal RNA is filed under the name uncultured bacterium. RNAcentral's name for it is "bacterial SSU rRNA". It matches the Rfam family "Bacterial small subunit ribosomal RNA", at positions 354 to 796 of the family's 1533-position model. The record is from RNAcentral.